AUUGAACGCUGGCGGCAUGCCUUACACAUGCAAGUCGAACGGCAGCGCGGGCUUCACCCUGGCGGCGAGUGGCGAACGGGUGAGUAAUUCAUCGGAACCUGCCCUUUUGUGGGGGAUAGCGUGGCGAAAGCUGGGUUAAUACCGCAUACGUCCUGCGGGUGAAAGCGGGGGACCGCAAGGCCUCGCGCUAAUAGAUGAGCCGACGACGGAUUAGCUAGUUGGUGGGGUAAAGGCUUACCAAGGCGACGAUCCGUAGCUGGUCUGAGAGGAUGACCAGCCACACUGGGACUGAGACACGGCCCAGACUCCUACGGGAGGCAGCAGUGGGGAAUAUUGGACAAUGGGGGCAAGCCUGAUCCAGCCAUGCCGCGUGUGGGAAGAAGGCCUUCGGGUUGUAAAGCGCUUUUGUUCGGAAAGAAAUCCUCUGGGCUAAUACCCUGGGGGGAUGACGGUACCGGAAGAAUAAGCACCGGCUAACUACGUG
This 484-nucleotide ribosomal RNA is filed under the name uncultured bacterium. RNAcentral describes it as "partial 16S ribosomal RNA". It matches the Rfam family "Bacterial small subunit ribosomal RNA", at positions 29 to 507 of the family's 1533-position model. The record is from RNAcentral.